AACGCGAAGAACCUUACCUGGCCUUGACAUCCAGAGAACUUAGCAGAGAUGCUUUGGUGCCUUCGGGAACUCUGAGACAGGUGCUGCAUGGCUGUCGUCAGCUCGUGUUGUGAAAUGUUGGGUUAAGUCCCGCAACGAGCGCAACCCUUAUCCUUUGUUGCCAGCGGUUCGGCCGGGAACUCAAAGGAGACUGCCGGUGAUAAACCGGAGGAAGGUGGGGAUGACGUCAAGUCAUCAUGGCCCUUACGGCCAGGGCUACACACGUGCUACAAUGGCGCAUACAAAGAGAAGCGACCUCGCGAGAGCAAGCGGACCUCAUAAAGUGCGUCGUAGUCCGGAUUGGAGUCUGCAACUCGACUCCAUGAAGUCGGAAUCGCUAGUAAUCGUAGAUCAGAAUGCUACGGUGAAUACGUUCCCGGGUCUUGUACACACCG
Molecule: ribosomal RNA, 434 nt
Filed under: Pantoea dispersa
Lineage: Bacteria; Pseudomonadati; Pseudomonadota; Gammaproteobacteria; Enterobacterales; Erwiniaceae
Description: bacterial SSU rRNA
Rfam family: Bacterial small subunit ribosomal RNA
Source: RNAcentral